UUGUUAUCCUUUUUCAUUUGUUAAGAUUAUCAUCUACUCUUCAGUUCCCCAGCCACCCCUCCCUGGCCCUGAGAUCAAAACCCAUUGAGCAUUCUGGGGCAGGCUUCCUAAACAUCUCACAUGAAGGAGGCUUCCUUUGCAGGCACUAAGUAGAAGCUGACAUCACUGUUAAUCAAGGCGUUCCAAUUUAUGUUUUACAGAAGAAAGUGCAAUGCAUGGGUGUGGUAGGGUUUCCUCACAUCUGCCCUUUCAUGUCUAAAGAUUCUGAGAUUUAAUUGAAUAUUCUUGUUCUGUCAGCUGUGAGACUGGAAUUUUGCUUAUCAAGAUUAGCUUGAUCUGGAAAAUAUCAUUUACAUUUAUUUCCCCACGACAUAUUUUAAUGCUAUGUCUGGGAUGCACUCCCGCUCUAGACUGACCAGUCCACACCUGUGGUUGAUGCAUUCUAAGAGGCAGCCAGUGAAAGCUGCUCAUUGCCAAUCAUGUAGGCCCAGUCUGGGCAUGCCUGGAUCCUUAAUGAGUUGUCAAGAGUCACAAGAGCAUUUCAGAAAAAAAAAUAUGCGAAUUUCAAGUGUUUCAUGACCUUUAGUACUACAGAGACAGCAAGACCAACCGCUCCUCUUCUUUCUCCUACUCAAGGUGAAGACGAUGAGGAUGAAGAUCUUUAUAAUGAUCCACUUCCACCUGCUUAAUAGUAACUACGUUUUCUCUUUCUUAUGAUUUUCUUAAUAGCUUACUUUACUGUAAGAUGGGUGUGAUUUUUGUCUUGCCCUGUGAUGGUCCAUAUGUUCACCGGCCACAGUGAUAAAAGCAUUUAAGAAGUCAAAUGUAGCAUCUAGAAUUAUUCAGAUCUCACAGUUGUGUGGACGACUAGAAAGUAUCCUUCAGUUUUCUGAAACUUUGGUUGUAUCUGAGUAUAUAUACAUAUAUUUAAAACAGAGAAAUACAAUUCAUGUUAAUUACAUUGGAAUUAGAGGGAAUUUGUAGAACUUUUGCUAUGCCAUUGGAUAAAAUCUUGACGUUAUUAUUAGAAAUCAUCUUAUUGGUUAUUAUUAUAUUGAAGAAAUAAUUUGAUUUUUAAAUAGAUUCUUAUUUUCUAGAAGGAGGUAAAAAACAUGCACCUGACUUUUCUAUGGCGUAAAGCCAAGGCUGGUAAUCUGUAUUCUGGCUGCCUGAUCUUCCCUACCAGUUGUUUUUAUAAAUAAAGUUUUAUUGGAACACAACUACAUUCAUUUAUUAACAUAUCACCAGUGACAGCUUUUGAGCUGCAAUGAUAGGGAAGGUUUGACAGAGACUGUGUUACCCACAAAGCCUAAAAUAUUUGCCAUCUUGUCCUUUACAUAAGAAAUUUGCCAACCCCGAUUGUUAGUGAUUUGAAGAAACUACAUUAGAUUUGUUUCUCAUAAAAUAUAAGAUUCAGUGUUAUUUAUGAAUGAAAUCUAAAUGUCUUUAAAGGUUUAAACAAUAGAAGUGGGAAUUAUGGUUUUUUGAAAGUGGAAAAUUGAAGGCUAUGUAUUUUUUUUCCAAAAUUUGGUGUUGUACGGAUUUUUUCCUCUCUGUGUUUGUUAAAAUUCUCUUUAUCACUUAUUUUCAUGAAAGGCUAUCUUGCUAAUAAUUUAAAGCCUUUAAUGAUGGGAGUGAUUUCAAUAACAUUACCUUUUUCACUUUCAUUUCGUUGCCAAAUAAACACAAAUUAAAGACUAGACUUUGAUCAGAAGUUAAUUCUUCAGCAUUUAGCAAUGACAUUUCCUGGUAGUAUAAAAUAUCUUUAAAGAUUCCGUAGCUACAGAUAUCCUUUUGAAUGGAAAACUAAAGCACAUUCACCACCAGCUCUAAGAACAUACUGCUAAACCCAGUCUAGAGAGUAGUUGGUGAGCUCAUACAGAAUAUUACUCAAGGCCUUUCCUGCCCUGUCAGUUCCCAGGCUGACAAAGUGUGGCAGCCACCUGGCCUUCCAUUACUCCUUUUUCCCCAAUAUAACACUGCCUUGAGAGCAGCACUCCCACAUCACGAGUACUGAACUCCAAUUACCUCUUGGGCAGGCCUCACACAUGUUGCUUAACCUCUCGGGUCUCACUUUACUCAUCUGUAAAAAGGAAUCAUAAUGGCACCACCUCAGAGGGUAAACACAAAGAAUUUAGAAGUGUGGCAUGUUCCUGGUGUUAUCCUCCAAGCGGAAUGUCAGAAGCUAGGAAGGGUCUUUGUGAAAUGACAAAAUAACCUAACUUU
This is a long non-coding RNA of Sapajus apella (tufted capuchin), 2226 nucleotides long. RefSeq lists it as uncharacterized. The transcript has 3 exons. Lineage: Eukaryota; Metazoa; Chordata; Mammalia; Primates; Cebidae. The record is from RefSeq and is a predicted model, not a curated record.